UCUCCGUUGGUGAACCAGCGGAGGGAUCAUUACAGGACUCGCAAGACUCCUCCAACCCUGUGAACUUAACUAUAUGCACUUUGCUUCGGCGGGUGUCACGGAGGGGGUUCUCCUUCCCCGAGACGCUAAACCCGCCGGCAGCCUACUAUACUCUGUCUCUUUGCGUUGGCAUCUCGAGUACAAUCAAACAAGUUAAAACUUUCAACAACGGAUCUCUUGGUUCUG
This 225-nucleotide unclassified non-coding RNA is filed under the name plant metagenome. RNAcentral describes it as "partial contains small subunit ribosomal RNA, internal transcribed spacer 1, and 5.8S ribosomal RNA". The record is from RNAcentral.